RNAcentral lists this ribosomal RNA (862 nucleotides) under Bacillus licheniformis. Its description in RNAcentral is "bacterial SSU rRNA". It matches the Rfam family "Bacterial small subunit ribosomal RNA", at positions 376 to 1240 of the family's 1533-position model. The record is from RNAcentral. Lineage: Bacteria; Bacillati; Bacillota; Bacilli; Caryophanales; Bacillaceae.
CGAAAGUCUGACGGAGCAACGCCGCGUGAGUGAUGAAGGUUUUCGGAUCGUAAAACUCUGUUGUUAGGGAAGAACAAGUACCGUUCGAAUAGGGCGGUACCUUGACGGUACCUAACCAGAAAGCCACGGCUAACUACGUGCCAGCAGCCGCGGUAAUACGUAGGUGGCAACGUGUCGGAUAUUGGGCGUAAGCGCUCGCAGGCGGUUUCUUAAGUCUGAUGUGAAAGCCCCCGGCUCAACCGGGGAGGGUCAUUGGAAACUGGGGAACUUGAGUGCAGAAGAGGAGAGUGGAAUUCCACGUGUAGCGGUGAAAUGCGUAGAGAUGUGGAGGAACACCAGUGGCGAAGGCGACUCUCUGGUCUGUAACUGACGCUGAGGAGCGAAAGCGUGGGGAGCGAACAGGAUUAGAUACCCUGGUAGUCCACGCCGUAAACGAUGAGUGCUAAGUGUUAGGGGUUUCCGCCCUUUAGUGCUGCAGCAACGCAUUAAGCACUCCGCUGGGGAGACGGUCGCAAGACUGAAACUCAAAGGAAUUGACGGGGGCCCGCACAAGCGGUGGAGCAUGUGGUUUAAUUCGAAGCAACGCGAAGAACCUUACCAGGUCUUGACAUCCUCUGACAACCCUAGAGAUAGGACUUCCCCUUCGGGGGCAGAGUGACAGGUGGUGCAUGGUUGUCGUCAGCUCGUGUCGUGAGAUGUUGGGUUAAGUCCCGCAACGAGCGCAACCCUUGAUCUUAGUUGCCAGCAUUCAGUUGGGCACUCUAAGGUGACUGCCGGUGACAAACCGGAGGAAGGUGGGGAUGACGUCAAAUCAUCAUGCCCCUUAUGACCUGGGCUACACACGUGCUACAAUGGACAGAAC